GACGAACGCUGGCGGCGUGCUUAACACAUGCAAGUCGAACGGAAAGGCCCUGCUUUUGUGGGGUGCUCGAGUGGCGAACGGGUGAGUAACACGUGAGUAACCUGCCCUUGACUUUGGGAUAACUUCAGGAAACUGGGGCUAAUACCGGAUAGGAGCUCCUGCUGCAUGGUGGGGGUUGGAAAGUUUCGGCGGUUGGGGAUGGGCUCGCGGCUUAUCAGCUUGUUGGUGGGGUAGUGGCUGACCAAGGCUUUGACGGGUAGCCGGCCUGAGAGGGUGACCGGCCACAUUGGGACUGAGAUACGGCCCAGAAGCGUACGGGAGGCAGCAGUGGGGAAUAUUGCACAGUGGGCGGGAGCCUGAUGCAACAACGCCGCGUGCGGGAUGACGGCCUUCGGGUUGUAAACCGCUUUCGCCUGUGACGAAGCGUGAGUGACGGUAAUGGGUAAAGAAGCACCGGCUAACUACGUG
Molecule: ribosomal RNA, 468 nt
Filed under: uncultured bacterium
Lineage: Bacteria
Description: partial 16S ribosomal RNA
Rfam family: Bacterial small subunit ribosomal RNA
Source: RNAcentral